This 24-nucleotide non-coding RNA is filed under the name Arabidopsis thaliana (thale cress). The record is from RNAcentral. Lineage: Eukaryota; Viridiplantae; Streptophyta; Magnoliopsida; Brassicales; Brassicaceae.
AGGUUGGGAGAAGAUGAAAAAGUG